GAUGAACGCUGUCGGCGUGCCUAAUACAUGCAAGUCUAGCGACCUGACUAGAAGCUUGCUUCUCUGUUGUUAGCGGCGGACGGGUGAUUAACACAUGGAUAACCUACCUACAAGACUGGGAUAACUUCGGGAAACCGGCGCUAUUACCGGAUAAUAUUUUGAACCGCUUGGUUCAAAAGUGAUAGACGCUCUUGCUGUCACUUAUAGAUGGAUCCGCGCUGCAUUAGCUAGUUGGUAAGGUAACGGCUUACCAAGGCACCGAUGCAUAGCCGACCUGAGAGGGUGCUAGGCCACACGGGAACUGAGACAAGCUUCAGACUACUGCGGGACGCAGCAGUAGGGAAUCUGCAGCAGUGCGCGAAGGCCUGAAACAAGAACGGCGCAUGAGUGAGGAAGUGCUUCGGAUCGUAAAACUCUCUUAGUAGGGAAGAACAUAUGUCUAAGUGACUGUGCACAUCUUGACGGUACCUAAUCAGAAAGCCACGGAUAACUACUUG
This 497-nucleotide ribosomal RNA is filed under the name uncultured bacterium. RNAcentral's name for it is "partial 16S ribosomal RNA". It matches the Rfam family "Bacterial small subunit ribosomal RNA", at positions 28 to 507 of the family's 1533-position model. The record is from RNAcentral.